GGCUCGUUGGUCUAGGGGUACGAUUCUCGCUUACAGUGCGAGAGGUCCCGGGUUCAAAUCCCGGACGAGCCC
This 72-nucleotide transfer RNA is filed under the name Danionella translucida. It matches the Rfam family "tRNA". Rfam says of the family: Transfer RNA (tRNA) molecules are approximately 80 nucleotides in length. The record is from Rfam by way of RNAcentral. Lineage: Eukaryota; Metazoa; Chordata; Actinopteri; Cypriniformes; Danionidae. RNAcentral also lists the same sequence under 1 other name.